GAAAAGGUGUUUUGAUAGCUACGGAGAAAAAGAGAAAGUAUAGAGAAAAAAAGCAAAACAGGGAGAUGAAAGGGGUCUCUAAUGGGAGAUCCAUUCCCUUUCUUCUCUUCUUCCUUUCGUUUUUUCAUCAAUUCAUCACAGGCUUUUCAGACGAUUCUUUAAAUCCCAGAAAUGGAACAAAAGUUGAUAGUCAUGCUGCAUCCAGCAGUAACACUGGGUCAAUUGUACUCAUUGUAUGUGUUGCCCUUGUGGCAGUAGUGCUUCUAUCAUUUUUCCUUUUCAAGUUUUGGCAAAAGAAGAAGCGUGAAGAGCAGUAUGCUCGUCUGCUAAAGUUGUUUGAAGAAGAUGAUGAGCUUGAGCUUGAGCUGGGUCUUCGGGAUUAAAUUUGUGUCAAAUGUUAACGACCAAUGUACUGAGAUGUAAGUAGUAACUUAAACCCAGAUUCUUGAUUCAAUGAUGACAAUGAGUUGGAUUGAUUCCAGAAUAUUGACAUAAAUGAAGAGAAAUCUUCAUUUCACAAUUUGUAGAAAUAUGUAUCAGUGUUAGCAGAAACAAAACUAUCAUGCAUUCUGUUCUUUGGGUACAGCGAUCAAUGGAUAACAGAUAUUGCCAAACGUCACCCUCCCAAAUGAGGAUUGUAAUUCAUCUGUCACAAUUUCACUCUGUAAUAGUUGUUAGUAGGUGUUUGCAGCUUGUUAGAUUGCUCUAAAAAUUGAGGAAUAAUUUUAAUCAAAGCUCAAAUGAGCUAGACUGUACUUCAAGUUGUGCAAAUUUGAUUUUGUACCCUCUGAUGUAUCACUAGGCCUUAAUAUAUUUUUGUUCUUUGUGUGUUAGAUUGCUCUAAAAAUU
Molecule: unclassified non-coding RNA, 849 nt
Filed under: Hevea brasiliensis (rubber tree)
Lineage: Eukaryota; Viridiplantae; Streptophyta; Magnoliopsida; Malpighiales; Euphorbiaceae
Source: RNAcentral